Molecule: unclassified non-coding RNA, 207 nt
Filed under: Hevea brasiliensis (rubber tree)
Lineage: Eukaryota; Viridiplantae; Streptophyta; Magnoliopsida; Malpighiales; Euphorbiaceae
Source: RNAcentral
UCUCCUUUUAUCUUUCUCUAUAAAUCACAAAAUGCAGUCUCUGUCAUUCUGUCUCUGUUUUUUCAUCUGCUCUUUUUUAUUUCUCACCCUUUUUGACAUUUUACAUCUCUCUAUCUCCUAAUCCCUUAUCUCUCGCAUUUUGCCUCUUAUUUUCCCUUGCCCUCGCUUUCUUACGUUGUGCGUCUCUCUCUCUCUCUCUCUCUCUCU